GACGAACGCUGGCGGCGUGCUUAACACAUGCAAGUCGAACGGAAGGGCCCUGCUUUUGUGGGGUGCUCGAGUGGCGAACGGGUGAGUAACACGUGAGUAACCUGCCCUUGACUUUGGGAUAACUUCAGGAAACUGGGGCUAAUACCGGAUAGGAGCUCCUGCUGCAUGGUGGGGGUUGGAAAGUUUCGGCGGUUGGGGAUGGACUCGCGGCUUAUCAGCUUGUUGGUGGGGUAGUGGCUUACCAAGGCUUUGACGGGUAGCCGGCCUGAGAGGGUGACCGGCCACAUUGGGACUGAGAUACGGCCCAGACUCGUACGGGAGGCAGCAGUGGGGAAUAUUGCACAAUGGGCGGAAGCCUGAUGCAGCAACGCCGCGUGCGGGAUGACGGCCUUCGGGUUGUAAACCGCUUUCGCCUGUGACGAAGCGUGAGUGACGGUAAUGGGUAAAGAAGCACCGGCUAACUACGUG
Molecule: ribosomal RNA, 468 nt
Filed under: uncultured bacterium
Lineage: Bacteria
Description: partial 16S ribosomal RNA
Rfam family: Bacterial small subunit ribosomal RNA
Source: RNAcentral